GCUGUGUGUCUGCCAGAUAAAAACUGCUGCUGACAUUUUGAUUUGGAUGCUACUUGACCCGCUGGAAAAGACAGAAGCCACUCCUACGCUGCAGAUGAAUCCAAAAAGUGCACCAUCACUGCACUCAGAGGCAAACCUGCGGAUGUUAGGUUCAUUUCUUGAAGUCUUACGGAUUCGGCAGAGCUUCUGCCUGGUUUAUUAUUCAGCAGAGUGGAAAGAUUCGAAGAGGGUGAAGAGUCGAUUUAAGGAUGCUGACCCUGUAAGUCGACAACCUCACAUAUCUGAAACACUAUGACCAGCGUCAACUCUCCAGCCUGUCUGCUCGCCCGCAACCACUUCUACAGAGGUUUCUCCUCGAGUUCAGAACCGAUGAAGCCCACAUUCAGUUGUCAGGGCGACUCUGCUGAGCACAAGCAGAAACAAGUCACCGUUUGGAUCACCAUGGCAACACCUCCUGGAUUAUCAGGCAUCAUGGGAACCAAAGGACUAGAGGUGGACAUUGUUCUGGGCUCCUCCUCCUCUUCUCAGGUCUCUACCUCCAAACCAACCAACCCUGCAGACCGGCGUGUCAAGUAGACGAAACAAGCGCACCACGUUGGUUCAUUGACUGAAAGGAAGUUAUGAAAUCAAGACAACUUGACUUUCCAUUCCUCUGCUCUCUGGGCUGCUCAGGAUUUUAAAGCCAGCUUGAAGUGAACAAGCACUGAUAAAGCAGACAAAUGCUGAAAUACAAAGACACUGUAAUAUGAUUGUGGUAAAAGUACUGGAUGUUUAACAUCAAAGCUUGUUGAUGCUGUGAAGACUUUUGACUGCACUGUGAAAUUUGAAGCCGCCUCAUGUAGAAUCGAAGUUGCCAAAAACAAUCAAAAAAGUAGUAUUUUAGUGAAGAAGUGUAAUAUUUUCUGCUCUUUCAUGAAGUAGAAGUAAAAUUGUAACAUAGAAACUGGUCCAAAAAUGAAACCUUAGCGAAAUGAUUAUUUUAGUAGGCCAAUAGUGUAAAAAUAUAGGAAUUUAUUUUUGUAAGAUUGUUUUGUUCCUGGUGUCUGUUAUGUGUAGUGGGGGGUCAUUAGGAUGACAGUCCAAUUCUAGGGUGUGUUGAAACCUUUGCAUCUCAAAUCAUCUCCUUUUUCUAUCUAAUCUUGACUUUAUAGUAAGAGGUGCAAUCUAGAAGUUUAGAGAUGACACCAUCCCCUUUCAAACAGUGUACCUUUGCUGCUUGUGCAAAGGUACACUGCUCCAAGCUCUCCAGCCACACUUCAUAUUCCUUGCAAGUCCUGUUCUGACCACUUGCAGGUGCACAUCUGUUGUUUUACCAUGGAGCUCAAUCUUGCACAGAGCAAACAUCAGAUUCUGUGUCAAACUGAUCUAAUGUUCAUGCGGAGGACCAUCACUGGUGAGGAAAAGUGGGUCUGCAGCUAUGACCCAGAGACCAAACAGCUGUUUUCAGUCUCCAACACUGAAGAAGGUGCAUCAGGUCAGGAGCUCAGCUGGAGCAUACUUGUUAUUUUUUCAACAGUAAUGCAGUUGUGCACAGUGAAUUCAUUCCCCAGGGUCAGAAAGUCAAAGCUGAGGUUCACCAUAACAUCCUGAGGUGCAACUUAUCCAUCCAUCCAUCCAUCCAUCCAUCCAUCCAUCCAUCCAUCCAUCCAUCCAUCUUCUUCUGCUUAUCCUGGGCAGCAGAUGAAGCAGGUCAUUCCAGACAUCCCUCCCUCCAGCAACACUUUCCAGCUCUUCCUGGGGGAUCCCGAGACGUUCACGCGUGAACAAGAUCCCAAGAUACUUGAACUCCUUUGCUUGAGGAAGUGAGGGAGUUUUGCUUCCUCUUCCCUAAAGUGAUAUUCAAGUUGAAUAUUGACAGUAUAAGAUGGUGCUGGAUGAGUUACAGGAUUGCGAGAGUCCAUUCAGUUGUGACAGUAACACUGGGUGAUGUGUGUCACUGCACAAAUAGGCUAAUUAGAAGGGACUGACUGCCAAAUUUAAAUGUGGCACAAUUUUUUAGGCAUAGACUUUGAACUUUUGUAGCUGAUCCCAGAUGACUUCGGGUGAAGGCAGGGGACACCCUGGAAAGGCCGCCAGUCUAUCACAGGGCUACACAUAGAGACAACCAAGCACACUCACAUUCACACCUACGGACAAUUUAGAAUUAAUAAUUAACCUCAGCAUGUUUUUGGACUGUGGGAGGAAGCCAGAGAACCUGGAGAAAACCAUGUAGAAAGAUCCCAGGCCCGGGCCGGGAUGCUGUGAGGCAACGGUGCUAACCACCAAGCCACUGUGCAGCCAAAUCAAAUUCAAUUGAAUUUAAUUGAAAUAUGUUAAAGAUAUGUAUGAAGAAAUUAGGACUAUAUUUUUGAAGGUGAAACUAAAGUUUUUUACCAGGUUAACAUGGUCAUGUGGUGUUCUUUAAAGCAUAGACGACACAUGAGCAGAAUAAGCAGCCAACACCAGGACUGAGCAUUUCCACCUUGAAACUUCAGUGUACCGAUGACAGUCUUACACCCACAGAUUAAGACUUGUGCAGGUUCAUAUGUAACAAGCCUAAAGAACUAAUUCUUUCAGGCAACAAGGUGGAGCUUUUUGUGUUCAUAUUCUUUCCAGUUUGAGUAAGUAUGGCUGAAUUACUCAAAACACAUUUUUAAAAAACUAGAAUAUGUAAUUUUUGACACAGAAAUGAUUUUUGAUGUUUUAGGAGUUUCAUCAACGAGAAACUGUAACUGUUCACUGUAGUCAACAUCAUGCAACAAUGGCUAUAUUCUGUGUCAAUUUAGUGAGAAAAAAAGCUCAUAUUUUUUUAUAAUUAUUAUCUAGCAACAUAAAAAACUGUAAAGUAUUGUGCACAAUCAAUAAAUGCAAGUAAUGAAUUAGGGAGGUUUCAUUGUGAUUUCUAUUUGUUAAAUUCUUCACCUGGAUAUACUGAUUUCCAAUAAAAAAAAAAAAAAAAUGUGUUUUCCAAAAUUAUUUUUCCUUAUAUAGUCAGCUGGAAAUCUUCACUUCAGCACCACUUACACACCAAAUCUUGCAGUUUGUUACUAUCAACAUUUUGAAGGUUUUCGCAUUUCACUCCUAAAAAUCCUGGCAAAAGUUGUUUCUUUUCUGGUAGUUGACACUUGUUUUAGUCACAAGUUCAAACACCACCUCAGCUGAAAUCAUCACUCCUAAAUCUGCACUGUAAUCCUGCUGGACACACCAGGGAAGUUACAUAACUGCCUUUGUGCCUGUAAAGCUUUUCUCCUUCCAACCCACUGCACCCAGAGCAUAGAGAGAACCACUGUCAGUUACCUACCUGUCCCUGUC
Amphiprion ocellaris (clown anemonefish) is the source of this 3291-nucleotide long non-coding RNA. The record is from Ensembl. Lineage: Eukaryota; Metazoa; Chordata; Actinopteri; Pomacentridae.